RNAcentral lists this long non-coding RNA (1029 nucleotides) under Capra hircus (goat). RNAcentral describes it as "lncRNA (ENSCHIG00010010873.1)". Lineage: Eukaryota; Metazoa; Chordata; Mammalia; Artiodactyla; Bovidae. The record is from RNAcentral.
CCAACGCUGCACAGACCACAAAAGGGAAACCCAGGCUCCAGCGAGGGGAGCGGGCGAGACCAUCUCCGCACUCAGUGCAGCUGGACCGGGAACACCCGGCCUCCCUCUGAGCCGCCGCUCCCCGGCUUCCGCCACUUUUUAUCUUUUUUUCCCCCCAGCACGAAUUUACCUCCACCACCUAGCGUGUCCCCUCUCCCCAGGACUCCGAGCCUCCUGCGACCCAGGUUUGAGACCUCAGGGCUCGCGGACGCCUCUCGCCGUCUCGCCUCCGGCCCUGGAGAGAGCAGCGGGGCGCGGGUGGAACCGGGUGACUUCCCGGCGCCUCCGGGAGCCGUCGAUACCAAGCGGGCCAGGCCGCGUCCCAGGGACCGAGGCCACCCCCCGCCCCACAGGGGCUGGUCCUCCCGGGGGCCCCCUUCCCUGCCUCCAGGCAUCGCGCCCUCCUCCGCCCCUGGCAUCUCCAUCCCGCAGGGCCUCCCAGCCGCUCCUUGGGUCGGGGGCCCGGGGCCCGGCCGCCGCAGACUCACCUGGCUGCCUCACAGCCUCUCGCGCUCUGCUGCCCUCGCUCAGAGGGGCACGACAUGUCCCCGCGGAAGCCUGCCCCGCGAGCCGGGGCUGGGCGGGGCGGGGCGGAGCUUGCGGGCCCGCGGGAUUCGCGCCAACACCGUUCUCCACCGCGCUCCCAGCGGGAGAGUUGCCAGCCGGCCGGGCUGCCGACAGCAGAGAGCUGAGGUGACGGGGAGCACGCCGUGGAGCUACGGCCGGGGCUCGGAGACCCGCAGGGGCGCUGGCGGGAAGUGUCGCGAGAGGUGGAUGGACUCCCGCGAGAUGUUAUCCUCGGAACCCGCUGGAAGUCGGCGCGCGGGACCAGUGGGUGUUGCGUGCGGCGUGACCUCCGCUCCGAAGCCGCCAGCGGGUUCUCGGCAUGAGGCAAGGGAAGUCUUUGGAAGGAAGGAACGCGCCCUGAGGCGUUACGGGUGGAAAGCCUGUCAACUCUCGGUGAAAGCAAGGUUCUUCGAGCAAGGAUAA